This 1426-nucleotide long non-coding RNA is filed under the name Ictidomys tridecemlineatus (thirteen-lined ground squirrel). RNAcentral describes it as "lncRNA (ENSSTOG00000029641.1)". Lineage: Eukaryota; Metazoa; Chordata; Mammalia; Rodentia; Sciuridae. The record is from RNAcentral.
UUGGGUGUCAGGAGUUGGGAGUCCUGCUCUAAUGCUGAGGCCCGGAGCCCUGCUGCAGGCACAGUACUGGUGAUUUCCAUGCAAGAGCAGCUGUGUAGGGGUACUCUAUCACUCUCAGAGAAGCAGUAUUCCCACUAGUUGAGACCCAGGUCACUGAGCUACACGAAUGCUGGCUCCCUCUGGUCCAUCAUCUUGGAUCCUCCUCCAUGCAAAACAAUUUUAAGUUCAACCCUUGCCCUGGCCUAGGCUUUAUGCCUUCUAUCUUGCUUGCUCAUGGAUCCCUUGCUCUGGAAGAAACCAGACGACACACCACAAGAACACUUGAGCAGUUGUGUGUAGGAGUUUUUGUGGCAAGGAACUGGGGUGGUUCUGCUCACAGCAGCAUCUACUUGACAGCCAUGUACUGAGCCAGGUCCUUGUAAGCUGAUUCUCCAGCCCUAGUCAAGAUCCUGACUGUGACCUCAGGAUAGACUAUGAACCAAAACUACCCAGCUUUGGGCUUCAGGAGAAACAAAAAAAAAAGAAGAAGAAAUGGAGGAAAGCAUGGAAAACAGGAAGAGAGUGGUGGAGUGGUUCAGGAGGUUCAGGAACCAUUUGCAACCUUCAAAAAGAGACAGAGAGAAACUGGUGCCAUCCAAACAGCAGGCACAGCCUUCCUGCUUCUUCUUUACCCCUCCUCCAGAACACCAACUUCCUUUCUUCCCUCCCUUGGCCCCGAUGGUGGGCAGGAGGGCUCUCUUUCCACCAUUGAAAGUAUUCAGCUGUGGAUAUCAUCAGGUACCAGUGAGCUCCCCUGGCUUCACCUUCCUCUGAGGGAAGAAAAGGAUGAAAGUGGGGGAGGUGGCAUUUUUGCUGAUACCUCUGUCUCUUGAAGCUGUCCCUCUGUCUCCUACCUGCUGUCUUCAGCAGCAGUGACUAGGGAAAGGCGGGGCCCAGGCGUGGAGUAAGGCACUGCCCUCCUUUUUCAAGGACAUCCCAGUAGCUUUUCCCUUCUCCCUCUCCGCCUCCUGUUUGCUGAUUCAUCAAAGCUUCAGCUUCAGGAUGUGGGCUUCUGUGUCAUGAGGGUGGACUUAUUUUUCUCCCCAGGAAGAGAUAUGAGGUAAUGUGACAAGAGCGCUCAUAAGUGCCAUUAGGGUAGGAGGUGACCUGUUCAUUCCUUAAGUACACCCAGAGCCUAGCACUGUAGUUAGUCCUCAGUCAGCUACUGAUUGCAGGGUGACCUCUACGGCCCAUGAGAAAAAAUAGUUUUCUGGGAAGGAGCAGAAGGGUAGGACCUGAGGACUAUAGUAACUGAGGAAAAUUCCUGUGAAGAUGAGUUAGAAUGAGAUGCAUCUUCUGUGUGUGGUGAUGUCUGACAGAGAGAUAUAGAGGCAUAUUUACAUGAGGGGUCUCCAGGUGUCUAUCAUGCUAUCAGUAAAAGUUAUCU